UACGGAGGGUGCAAGCGUUAAUCGGAAUUACUGGGCGUAAAGCGCACGCAGGCGGUCUGUUAAGUCAGAUGUGAAAUCCCCGGGCUUAACCUGGGAACUGCAUUUGAAACUGGCAGGCUUGAGUCUUGUAGAGGGGGGUAGAAUUCCAGGUGUAGCGGUGAAAUGCGUAGAGAUCUGGAGGAAUACCGGUGGCGAAGGCGGCCCCCUGGACAAAGACUGACGCUCAGGUGCGAAAGCGUGGGGAGCAAACAGG
RNAcentral lists this ribosomal RNA (253 nucleotides) under uncultured bacterium. RNAcentral's name for it is "partial 16S ribosomal RNA". It matches the Rfam family "Bacterial small subunit ribosomal RNA", at positions 524 to 776 of the family's 1533-position model. RNAcentral also lists the same sequence under 1 other name. The record is from RNAcentral.